GCGAAGAACUGGGAUAGAGCUCGCCUCGGCUCCGCUGGCCUUGGCUGCAGCUCUCCCAGAGAACGGGGCACCCACACGAGAAUCCCAUACCUGGCUCUCUCUUCAGGGAUGACAUCAUCGGCUCACCCCAGUCUUCAAGGACCGCCUUCUUUGGAUGCCAAGCUGUCACUCAAGUACCUGUGGCGAUACCUGAUGAACAUCUCUAUCUCCUGAGGCAAGGACCAUGGAUUCCUGGAACCCACCAGCAUAACAGAGCAGCCCCCUGUGGACCCCCAGGACCAGGACAUCGAGGGACAAGGGACAAAGAGGAUCAGCAGUGGUCAUCUAGCCUCCCUCUGGGUUCAAGCCUUGAACCAACGCCCUAGUGAGGGGGCAUUGGUCAUGACCUCUGACCUCUAUUCUGCUUGUGCCUUGAAUCUGAGCCCUUCCCUGUGUGUCUCUGCUUGUGUUCAUCUGCCAGUGAACUGGAGUGCUUCCCUCCCCAAGGGGGGUCGUCCCUUGUGACUGACCAUGUUGUCCUAACAAAAGUCCUGAGCAGAAGG
This is a long non-coding RNA of Arvicola amphibius (Eurasian water vole), 542 nucleotides long. RefSeq lists it as uncharacterized. The transcript has 3 exons. Lineage: Eukaryota; Metazoa; Chordata; Mammalia; Rodentia; Cricetidae. The record is from RefSeq and is a predicted model, not a curated record.